UACGGAGGUUGCAAGCGUUAUCCGGAUUUAUUGGGUUUAAAGGGUGCGUAGGCGGAAUGGUAAGUCAGUGGUGAAAUCCUGUAGCUUAACUACAGAACUGCCAUUGAUACUGUCAUUCUUGAGUGUAGUUGAGGUAGGCGGAAUGUGUAAUGUAGCGGUGAAAUGCUUAGAUAUUACACAGAACUCCAAUUGCGUAGGCAGCUUACUAAACUAUAACUGACGCUGAGGCACGAAAGCGUGGGGAG
This 245-nucleotide ribosomal RNA is filed under the name uncultured bacterium. RNAcentral describes it as "partial 16S ribosomal RNA". It matches the Rfam family "Bacterial small subunit ribosomal RNA", at positions 524 to 768 of the family's 1533-position model. The record is from RNAcentral.